RNAcentral lists this ribosomal RNA (492 nucleotides) under uncultured bacterium. RNAcentral describes it as "partial 16S ribosomal RNA". It matches the Rfam family "Bacterial small subunit ribosomal RNA", at positions 29 to 507 of the family's 1533-position model. The record is from RNAcentral.
AGUGAACGCUGGCGGUAGGCCUAACACAUGCAAGUCGAACGGCAGCACAGUAAGAGCUUCCUCUUACGGGUGGCGAGUGGCGGACGGGUGAGGAAUACAUCUGAAUCUACUUUUUCGUGGGGGAUAACGUAGGGAAACUUACGCUAAUACCGCAUACGACCUACGGGUGAAAGCAGGGGAUCUUCGGACCUUGCGCGAUUGAAUGAGCCGAUGUCGGAUUAGCUAGUUGGCGGGGUAAAGGCCCACCAAGGCGACGAUCCGUAGCUGGUCUGAGAGGAUGAUCAGCCACACUGGAACUGAGACACGGUCCAGACUCCUACGGGAGGCAGCAGUGGGGAAUAUUGGACAAUGGGCGCAAGCCUGAUCCAGCCAUACCGCGUGGGUGAAGAAGGCCUUCGGGUUGUAAAGCCCUUUUGUUGGGAAAGAAAAGCAGCAGGUUAAUACCCCGCUGUUCUGACGGUACCCAAAGAAUAAGCACCGGCUAACUUCGUG